CCCCGGGCUCAACCUGGGAACUGCGUUNUGAACUGGGUAGCUAGAGUAUGUCAGAGGGGGGUAGAAUUCCACGUGUAGCAGUGAAAUGCGUAGAGAUGUGGAGGAAUACCGAUGGCGAAGGCAGCCCCCUGGGAUAAUACUGACGUUCAUGCUCGAAAGCGUGGGUAGCAAACAGGAUUAGAUACCCUGGUAGUCCACGCCCUAAACGAUGUCGAUUAGCUGUUGGGCAACUUGAUUGCUUAGUAGCGUAGCUAACGCGUGAAAUCGACUGCCUGGGGAGUACGGUCGCAAGAUUAAAACUCAAAGGAAUUGACGGGGACCCGCACAAGCGGUGGAUGAUGUGGAUUAAUUCGAUGCAACGCGAAGAACCUUACCUGGUCUUGACAUGUACGGAAGAACUCAGAGACGAGUUUGUGCCUUCGGGAGCCGUAACACAGGUGCUGCAUGGCUGUCGUCAGCUCGCGUCGUGAGAUGUUGGGUUAAGUCCCGCAACGAGCGCAACCCUUGUCAUUAGUUGCCAUCAUUUAGUUGGGCACUCUAAUGAGACUGCCGGUGACAAACCGGAGGAAGGUGGGGAUGACGUCAAGUCCUCAUGGCCCUUAUGACCAGGGCUUCACACGUCAUACAAUGGUCGGUACAGAGGGUAGCCAAGCCGCGAGGUGGAGCCAAUCCCAGAAAACCGAUCGUGGUCCGGAUUGCACUCUGCAACUCGAGUGCAUGAAGUCGGAAUCGCUAGUAAUCGCAGGUCAGCAUACUGCGGUGAAUACGUUCCCGGGUCUUGUACACACCGCCCGUCACACCAUGGGAGUGGGGGAUACCAGAAGUAGGUAGGGUA
RNAcentral lists this ribosomal RNA (835 nucleotides) under uncultured bacterium. RNAcentral describes it as "bacterial SSU rRNA". It matches the Rfam family "Bacterial small subunit ribosomal RNA", at positions 601 to 1437 of the family's 1533-position model. The record is from RNAcentral.